AGCGAACGUUUGCGGCGGGCCUAACACAUGCAAGUCGAACGCACUAGCAAUAGUGAGUGGCGCACGGGUGCGUAACACGUGGGUAAUCAACCCUUCAGCCUGGGAUAACGACUCGAAAGGGUCGCUAAUACCGGAUACGGCGCGAGAGGCUUCGGCUUCUCACGAGAAAGCCACGCAAGGGGCACUGAAGGACGAGCCUGCGGCCCAUCAGCUAGUUGGUGAGGUAAGAGCUCACCAAGGCUAAGACGGGUAGCUGGUCUGAGAGGAUGAUCAGCCACACUGGAACUGAGACACGGUCCAGACUCCUACGGGAGGCAGCAGUGGGGAAUAUUGCGCAAUGGGCGAAAGCCUGACGCAGCCACGCCGCGUGAGCGAUGAAGGCCUUCGGUCGUAAG
RNAcentral lists this ribosomal RNA (395 nucleotides) under uncultured bacterium. RNAcentral's name for it is "bacterial SSU rRNA". It matches the Rfam family "Bacterial small subunit ribosomal RNA", at positions 29 to 429 of the family's 1533-position model. The record is from RNAcentral.